GAAAGAAUAAACACACAAGGGAUGAAGACUCCAGGGUGUGAAAACGAUGUAACGUUUACACGGGUCUACAUUCACUUGGACCUUGAUAACAUCAAGGAUCAUUGUGAAGACUACCAGCCUACAGAUUUUACGUAGACUUACACUCGUGAUUCCGACAAGUUCCUGACUGGUACCUGCACAUGAAUGCGCCUACCUGUGGCGACGUCGGUCCGCUCACCUUGAUGUACACACAGCACCCAGUCUAUUAUACAGCUACAUCGUGGGAGUCACUUAACACUUGACCCGCUGUG
Haliotis rufescens (red abalone) is the source of this 290-nucleotide long non-coding RNA. RefSeq lists it as uncharacterized. The transcript has 3 exons. The record is from RefSeq and is a predicted model, not a curated record. NCBI's taxonomy places the organism in Eukaryota, Metazoa, Mollusca, Gastropoda, Lepetellida, Haliotidae.